RNAcentral lists this transfer RNA (73 nucleotides) under Ancylomarina longa. RNAcentral's name for it is "Marinifilaceae bacterium T3-2 S1-C tRNA-Ala". It matches the Rfam family "tRNA". Rfam says of the family: Transfer RNA (tRNA) molecules are approximately 80 nucleotides in length. Their secondary structure includes four short double-helical elements and three loops (D, anti-codon, and T loops). The record is from RNAcentral. Lineage: Bacteria; Pseudomonadati; Bacteroidota; Bacteroidia; Marinilabiliales; Marinifilaceae.
GGAAAAAUGACAUAGUAAAAGUUUUUGACUGGCAGUCAAGAGGUCAUCGGUUCGAUUCCGAUAUUCUCCACCC